GUAUGGUGCAAGCGUUAUCCGGAUUUACUGGGUGUAAUGGGAGCGUAGACGGAGUGGCAAGUCUGAUGUGAAAACCCGGGGCUCAACCCCGGGACUGCAUUGGAAACUGUCAAUCUAGAGUACCGGAGAGGUAAGCGGAAUUCCUAGUGUAGCGGUGAAAUGCGUAGAUAUUAGGAGGAACACCAGUGGCGAUGGCGGCUAACUAGCCCGAGACUGACGCUCAUUCUCGAAAGCGUGGGUAGCAAAUAGGAUUAGAUACCCUAGUAGUCCACGCCGUAAACGAUGAGUACUAGGUGUUGGGGAAACUCAGCGCCGAAGUUACACAAUAAGUACUCCGCCUGGGUAGU
This 347-nucleotide ribosomal RNA is filed under the name uncultured bacterium. RNAcentral describes it as "bacterial SSU rRNA". It matches the Rfam family "Bacterial small subunit ribosomal RNA", at positions 527 to 881 of the family's 1533-position model. The record is from RNAcentral.